This 305-nucleotide unclassified non-coding RNA is filed under the name plant metagenome. RNAcentral describes it as "partial contains 5.8S ribosomal RNA, internal transcribed spacer 2, and large subunit ribosomal RNA". The stretch from base 1 to 105 matches the Rfam family "5.8S ribosomal RNA", at positions 50 to 154 of the family's 154-position model. The record is from RNAcentral.
GAAAUGCGAUAAGUAGUGUGAAUUGCAGAAUUCAGUGAAUCAUCGAAUCUUUGAACGCACAUUGCGCCCUUUGGUAUUCCAAAGGGCAUGCCUGUUCGAGCGUCAUUUGUACCCUCAAGCUUUGCUUGGUGUUGGGCGUCUUGUCUCCAGUUCGCUGGAGACUCGCCUUAAAGUAAUUGGCAGCCGGCCUACUGGUUUCGGAGCGCAGCACAAGUCGCGCUCUCUUCCAGCCAAGGUCAGCAUCCACAAAGCCUUUUUUCAACUUUUGACCUCGGAUCAGGUAGGGAUCCCCGCUGAACUUAAGC